UUGACCUCGAAUCAGGUAGGAAUACCCGCUGAACUUAAGCAUAUCAAUAAGCGGAGGAAAAGAAACCAACAGGGAUG
RNAcentral lists this ribosomal RNA (77 nucleotides) under Cordyceps cicadae. RNAcentral's name for it is "partial 26S ribosomal RNA". It matches the Rfam family "Eukaryotic large subunit ribosomal RNA", at positions 1 to 76 of the family's 3401-position model. Lineage: Eukaryota; Fungi; Ascomycota; Sordariomycetes; Hypocreales; Cordycipitaceae. The record is from RNAcentral.